UGGGGAAUUGUUCACAAUGGGCGCAAGCCUGAUGACGCAACGCCGCGUGGGGGAUGAAGGUCUUCGGAUCGUAAACCCCUGUCGAAUGGGACGAAAGACUCGCGAGUGAAUACUUUGCGAGAGUGACGGUACCGUUAAAGGAAGCCACGGCUAACUCUGUGCCAGCAGCCGCGGUAAUACAGAGGUGGCAAGCGUUGUUCGGAAUUACUGGGCGUAAAGGGCGCGUAGGCGGCCCUCUAAGUCAGACGUGAAAUCCCCCGGCUUAACCUGGGAACUGCGUCUGAUACUGGAGGGCUUGAGUAUGGGAGAGGGAUGCGGAAUUCCAGGUGUAGCGGUGAAAUGCGUAGAUAUCGGGAGGAACAUCAGUGGCGAAGGCGGCCCUCUGGUCCAGUACUGACACUCAAGUGCGAAAGCGUGGGGAGCAAACAGGAUUAGAUACCCCAGUAGUCCCUGAGCGGGCUGGCAAGGCGCAU
RNAcentral lists this ribosomal RNA (473 nucleotides) under uncultured bacterium. RNAcentral's name for it is "bacterial SSU rRNA". It matches the Rfam family "Bacterial small subunit ribosomal RNA", at positions 355 to 825 of the family's 1533-position model. The record is from RNAcentral.